Molecule: ribosomal RNA, 253 nt
Filed under: uncultured bacterium
Lineage: Bacteria
Description: partial 16S ribosomal RNA
Rfam family: Bacterial small subunit ribosomal RNA
Source: RNAcentral
UACGUAGGGUGCGAGCGUUAAUCGGAAUUACUGGGCGUAAAGCGUGCGCAGGCGGCUAUUUAAGCUUGCUGUGAAAGCCCCGGGCUUAACCUGGGAACUGCAGUGAGGACUGGAUGGCUGGAGUGUGGCAGAGGGGGGUGGAAUUCCACGUGUAGCAGUGAAAUGCGUAGAGAUCCGGAGGAACACCGAAGGCGAAGGCAGUGUCCUGGGGAGUACCUGACGCUCAGGUGCGAAAGCUAGGGGAGCGAACGGG